GACGAACGCUGGCGGCGCGCCUAACACAUGCAAGUCGAACGGAGUCAAGAGGAGCUUGCUUUUCUUGACUUAGUGGCGAACGGGUGAGUAACGCGUGAGUAACCUGCCCUGGAGUGGGGGACAACAGUUGGAAACGACUGCUAAUACCGCAUAAGCCCACGGAUCUGCAUGGAUCUGCGGGAAAAGGAUUUAUUCGCUCUAGGAUGGACUCGCGUCCAAUUAGCUAGUUGGUGGGGUAACGGCCCACCAAGGCGACGAUUGGUAGCCGGACUGAGAGGUUGAACGGCCACAUUGGGACUGAGACACGGCCCAGACUCCUACGGGAGGCAGCAGUGGGGGAUAUUGCACAAUGGGGGAAACCCUGAUGCAGCGACGCCGCGUGGAGGAAGAAGGUUUUCGGAUUGUAAACUCCUGUCGUUAGGGACGAUAAUGACGGUACCUAACAAGAAAGCACCAGCUAACUACGUG
This 468-nucleotide ribosomal RNA is filed under the name uncultured bacterium. RNAcentral's name for it is "partial 16S ribosomal RNA". It matches the Rfam family "Bacterial small subunit ribosomal RNA", at positions 28 to 507 of the family's 1533-position model. The record is from RNAcentral.